GGACGAACGCCGGCGGCGUGCUUAACACAUGCAAGUCGAGCGGUAAGGCCCUUUCGGGGGUACACGAGCGGCGAACGGGUGAGUAACACGUGGGUGACCUGCCCUCAGCUCUGGGAUAAGCCUGGGAAACCGGGUCUAAUACCGGAUAUGACUCCGAUGACGCAUGUUUGUGGGGUGGGAAACGCCUUGUGCGGCUGAGGAUGGGCCCGCGGCCUAUCAGCUUGUUGGUGGGGUGAUGGCCACCAAGGCGACGACGGGUA
Molecule: ribosomal RNA, 260 nt
Filed under: uncultured bacterium
Lineage: Bacteria
Description: partial 16S ribosomal RNA
Rfam family: Bacterial small subunit ribosomal RNA
Source: RNAcentral